This 253-nucleotide ribosomal RNA is filed under the name uncultured bacterium. RNAcentral's name for it is "partial 16S ribosomal RNA". It matches the Rfam family "Bacterial small subunit ribosomal RNA", at positions 524 to 776 of the family's 1533-position model. The record is from RNAcentral.
UACGGAGGGUGCAAGCGUUGUUCGGAAUUACUGGGCGUAAAGGGCUCGUAGGCGGCCAACUAAGUCAGACGUGAAAUCCCCAGGCUCAACCUGGGAACUGCGUCUGAUACUGGAUGGCUUGAAUCCGGGAGAGGGAUGCAGAAUUCCAGGUGUAGCGGUGAAAUGCGUAGAUAUCUGGAGGAAUACCGGUGGCGAAGGCGGCAUCCUGGACCGGCAUUGACGCUGAGGAGCGAAAGCCAGGGGAGCAAACGGG